Long non-coding RNA from Mus pahari (shrew mouse), 2000 nucleotides. RefSeq lists it as uncharacterized. The transcript is spliced from 6 exons. Lineage: Eukaryota; Metazoa; Chordata; Mammalia; Rodentia; Muridae. The record is from RefSeq and is a predicted model, not a curated record.
GUGACAAGAGCUUCGAGUUGCAGAGUGCGCAGAACACCAGAGUCAGCAUAUGGCUGUCCCUGGCCAGAUUACAGGCAAGCCUCUCUGUGUCCAGACUUAGCGUCUGUCACAAGUGACUCUGUGACCCCGGCUCAAAGGUGACACUCUCACAGACUGGCCUCCGGCAACAUUGGUGAUCAUGCACACCUCAUGUGAGAACAUCCAGAGUUGGAACACAGCUUGAGUAGCUGUGUGGGUAGACGGAGGAGUCCACAUGCCGGGAGGAAGAUGACGUUCUUCACCUGAACUCGGGUACUUUAGGUUUGAAGUUACUGCAUAGCAUUGUGGAUUAUAAAUAUUUCAUUGUUGUCUGCUUUAAAAGUUCUGCAAAACUUGAGUAGACAUCUUAUGCAAUCCAAAUGAACUCAUACUUCAGGCUGGGCUCUCUCUGCAAACGAAGAAGGAUAUAUUUGAGCAUGUACAUAUGGGCAUGGCUUGUGAUGGUAGGGUCUUUAUAACUGAGAAAACAACCACCACACAGAUGCAACCGUCUCCUCGAGCUGAAACUGGAGGUGGGGAACCACAGCUUACCAUCCCACUGCCUACAGGAACCAAUCGUUCGAUCAUGUUAGCUGGGAUGCCACAACGCUUUGAAUAUUCAAAAGGAGGAAGGUAGGACGGUAAUUGCAGAAGACACUGGGCAACGCAUGAGAAACUGACCUGCAGGGAUGGAUUGCAACACGGAGGGAAGGGGAGGUAGAAGAAAGAAAUCAACCUAUAAAUGGUGGUGCAUUAAAUGCUCCUAUGCUGAAGAUCGCCACCCAGUGGGGACACGGGAAAUUCCAACACAGGGUGCCCAGCUGUGACUUCAUGAGGAAGCCUGUGGAUGGGUGAGUCAGGAGAGGAGACAGUGGGGAAGAGUCUAGAAGCACCCAGGGAAGGUGAAGGCACGCCCACUGAAGACUGAGCUGUACUGGUCAUUACCUGAAGGCAAAGGACAGACCCACAAAGAAACAGAGAAAGACUCACAGAGAGGAAGCGCGUUACAUUUUCACAAAGGUGAAAGAAGAUCAAAACAUCCGCUAUCUGUUGGGUUUAACAACAAACAGAGAAGGCAAACUCCUUGGUGAAUAAUAAGUGGCUGGAGAUACAAGAAAAGUGAAACAAGAGCCAGCUGAGGGGCCCCACCCUGACCCGACACCUGCAGGGGCUCAGGGUUCCCGCCCCUGCUCAGAUGGUCAUUGCAAGCCACUUUUCUCCCUAGUGACUCAGUAGAUGCUGUUCUUAAUUAAUGGUUCCGAUUUCUGUUUAACUGGACCACAAUUCUUCAAGGAGGGACCACUGAUCAUGGCCACAAGCUUUAGCAACUCUGUCUUAGCACUUACUCUGUCUUUUCAGAUAAGCCACUUUGGCAGGAGCCCCCGUGGUGUUGCUGAUAGGCAGCAAACAGCAGGCGGAAGAGUUUUGCUCUCUGGCUCUGCCACCACCUUGAUUAGUCAGUGUGCAUUCCUGCCCAAUCUCGUUGGAGUUUGAAUUACACAUUGUUUGCUAAGCCCUAUGCUUGGCCAAAGAGGGACUUAAUGGCACUUAGGAAAAAAGAAAUGAUCAAAUGACACACGGUCUCCAAAGCAUCAUUAUCUCUCUGAUGAGUGACACUUUAAGCCUCACUGUGCUUCUGGGUCCUUUGAUGAUGGCGCUCCCCACACUCACUUGGAUGACAGUUUCUGAGGACUGUGCAUAAAGAAAGCUGGAGAGCCUGGGUUCGUUCACAGCACAAUUUCUGAAAAGAGGGAAGGGGUUUUCUUUGAAGGUGACAAUAAGCUCCAGUUAAUGGUAGCAGACUUCAGUAUACCGAGGGAAAUCCAAACAAGCCCGAAGUGUCACUGAAACAUUUAUACUUUUGUAGUUCCUUUCUAUUUAGGAAAUUAUUUCACUGUAUACUUUUUAAAUCUCAUAGGGAGAAAAAAUAAUUAAGCAUCGAUGGGUGUACUUCUCCAUCUGGUCUUCAGAAAGUAAAUAUU